Molecule: ribosomal RNA, 253 nt
Filed under: uncultured bacterium
Lineage: Bacteria
Description: partial 16S ribosomal RNA
Rfam family: Bacterial small subunit ribosomal RNA
Source: RNAcentral
UACAGAGGGGGCAAGCGUUGUUCGGAAUUACUGGGCGUAAAGGGCGCGUAGGUGGCCUGUUAAGUCGAACGUGAAAUCCCCGGGCUCAACCCGGGAACUGCGUCCGAUACUGGCAGGCUUGAAUUCGGGAGAGGGAUGCGGAAUUCCAGGUGUAGCGGUGAAAUGCGUAGAUAUCUGGAGGAACACCGGUGGCGAAGGCGGCAUCCUGGACCGAGAUUGACGCUGAGGCGCGAAAGCCAGGGGAGCAAACGGG